Non-coding RNA from Etheostoma cragini (Arkansas darter), 501 nucleotides. The record is from the annotation of a RefSeq genome assembly. Lineage: Eukaryota; Metazoa; Chordata; Actinopteri; Perciformes; Percidae.
CAGUUCAGCUUCAACAUCAACAUGUUCUCUGUAGCUCUGAUGCUGCUGCUGGCUGCUGGAUCCUGUGUGAACAGUAUUGAUCUCAUCCAGACAGACUCAAUGGUUGUGCAGCCUGGACAGUCUCUGACCCUCAGCUGUCAGGUCUCAGGUUAUUCUCUGACUGAUAACAGCUAUGCAACAGGUUGGAUCAGACAGAGGGAAGGAAAACCAAUGGAUUGGAUUUCCCAUCAGUGGGGUGGAGGAAGCCUUUACCAAAAUAACGCUCUGAAGAACAAGUUCAGCUACAGCAGAGACACUUCUGCUCUUACAGUGUCUCUAAAAGGACAGAAUGUGCAGCCUGAGGACACAGCUGUGUAUUACUGUGUAUGUCGGCCCACAGUGAUACAAACCACCAAGAGACCAGCAAAAAUACCCAGCAACCAGCACGACUCAACCACACACACACUUUUUCUAAAUGUGAACAUUAAUAAAGACAGCGCUCUCUAAUUUAAUACAAUUAAU